GACGAACGCUGGCGGCGUGCUUAACACAUGCAAGUCGAACGGAAAGGCCCUGCUUUUGUGGGGUGCUCGAGUGGCGAACGGGUGAGUAACACGUGAGUAACCUGCCCUUGACUUUGGGAUAACUUCAGGAAACUGGGGCUAAUACCGGAUAGGAGCUCCUGCUGCAUGGUGGGGGUUGGAAAGUUUCGGCGGUUGGGGAUGGACUCGCGGCUUAUCAGCUUGUUGGUGGGGUAGUGGCUUACCAAGGCUUUGACGGGUAGCCGGCAUGAGAGGGUGACCGGGCACAUUGGGACUGAGAUACGGCCCAGACUCCUACGGGAGGCAGCAGUGGGGAAUAUUGCACAAUGGGCGGAAGCCUGAUGCAGCAACGCCGCGUGCGGGAUGACGGCCUUCGGGUUGUAAACCGCUUUCGCCUGUGACGAAGCGUGAGUGACGGUAAUGGGUAAAGAAGCACCGGCUAACUACGUG
RNAcentral lists this ribosomal RNA (468 nucleotides) under uncultured bacterium. RNAcentral describes it as "partial 16S ribosomal RNA". It matches the Rfam family "Bacterial small subunit ribosomal RNA", at positions 28 to 507 of the family's 1533-position model. The record is from RNAcentral.